AUCAUGUCUUCAAAUUUGCUCUGUUACAGGUUGUAGAGCAGCAGGUGCAGCAUCCCACUCACAUUCUUGGUGGCCUUGGAGACUUGUCCAACAUUCUUGACCUUUCCCUAACUUCUGACCCUUCACCACAUUCUUUCAAACUGUUUUCUCAAUUGUGGUCCUCCAGUCACAACCUCAUACCCACAUCCUGUCCUGUCACUCCAGUGCAGCCUCUGGACACACCAAAGCAAAGCACAACAAAGCCCCACCAGCCACUCACCCACUUGUCCUGCCAGCUCCAUGGUGAUCUGGUCUCCAAACACCUCCCAUGACACCUGCAGGUCCUUGUGUAGCUGCUCACAGUUUGGCAUGGAGUUACUGUGAGGCUGAGGAAGAAAAGAUAAGAAAGUGUGGUGUAAAGCUGUGCCCUGCUGCCUCUCAUGUGUGCUGUCAGUGCCCAGGACAAGUGUGUGCUGUGUACUGUGCCUGGAUGUAUGUGCCAUGGUUCCAUGUUACUACACACCCUCCCCCUCGCCUUGUAACCAGUCAUCUCCACCAUUAAAAGCCAGAAAAGGUA
Scylla paramamosain (green mud crab) is the source of this 556-nucleotide long non-coding RNA. RefSeq lists it as uncharacterized. The transcript has 3 exons. NCBI's taxonomy places the organism in Eukaryota, Metazoa, Arthropoda, Malacostraca, Decapoda, Portunidae. The record is from RefSeq and is a predicted model, not a curated record.